This 72-nucleotide transfer RNA is filed under the name Marmota monax (woodchuck). It matches the Rfam family "tRNA". From Rfam's summary of the family: Transfer RNA (tRNA) molecules are approximately 80 nucleotides in length. RNAcentral also lists the same sequence under 1 other name. Lineage: Eukaryota; Metazoa; Chordata; Mammalia; Rodentia; Sciuridae. The record is from Rfam by way of RNAcentral.
UGGGGUGUAGCUCAAUGAUAGAGCAUUUGUCUAGCACAAGUGAGGUACUGGGUUUGAUUCUCAGCACCACAU